This 405-nucleotide ribosomal RNA is filed under the name uncultured bacterium. Its description in RNAcentral is "bacterial SSU rRNA". It matches the Rfam family "Bacterial small subunit ribosomal RNA", at positions 29 to 416 of the family's 1533-position model. The record is from RNAcentral.
AACGAACGCUGGCGGCGUGCCUAACACAUGCAAGUCGCGCGAGAAAAGGGGGGCAACCCCCUGAGUAAAGCGGCGAACGGGUGAGUAACACGUAGGUGACCUACCUUCGAGUCUAGAAUAACCCACCGAAAGGUGGGCUAAUGCCGGAUAUGACCACGGGAGCCUCGGCUCCUGCGGUGAAAGGUGGCCUCUGCUUGCAAGCUACCGCUCGACGAUGGGCCUGCGCGCCAUAGCUAGUUGGUGAGGUAACGGCCCACCAAGGCGAUGAUGGCUAGCUGGUCUGAGAGGAUGGCCAGCCACACUGGGACUGAAACACGGCCCAGACUCCUACGGGAGGCAGCAGUGGGGGAUAUUGCGCAAUGGGCGAAAGCCUGACGCAGCGACGCCGCGUGGGUGAUGAAGGCC